UGUUCUCUCACAGUAUCAUUCUGAAUGAUCACUUUCCAGAGAUGCAAGACGUUAGUCUUUCAAAUGAACUGUAUGGUGAUGGACAAGGCCAGUGGUUCUAAGGGCAGGAGACUGGUGCUACCCUUGAGCCUGGGAGAAGCAUUAGAAUCAAGAGCACAGCUACUAGAGCCAGACUGCUUGGAUCUGAAUUUAAUUCUGCUACCAGCUAUGUAUAAUAAUUAAUAGCAAUCUCCUUACUCUCAAAAGUACGUGAUCAACCUACUGAUGGGUCAGAUAAAAUUAAAGUUGAAAUGUACAAGUGGUAGCCGUAGCAAGACAAAUUUUGGCAGAUUGUUGAAGAUGGAAGCCUGGUUGGAAGGGUUUACAAAAAUGGAUGACAACAACUGGAGACAGUUAGAUGAUUAUUUUGAAGACUUUUGCUACAAGAAAGAGAAGAAAUGAGUUCAUAGGUCAUCCCCCCAUAAUGAACAAAGUUGAUAUUUGAGGAUUGGACUGUGCAGCACUCAGAGUUCUUGAACCUUGAGAUGAAUGCAGUACCUGCCUGGGAUUGGUGUCCUCUCUCUUGGGGAGCAGAGUUGGAAAUUGAAGAAUGCAAUGGAAAGCAAGAUGAAUGAGGCAAGAGUGUGUAGCCGUCAAUCCUGGAUCCAGGGAGCCAUUUCUGACUGAGUUAGAGACAUCUCUGCCACGCGGCACAUAGAUUUAUAACUCUGAGCAAAGGUUUCAACAAAUACGAUUUCUUCACUCCAAAGUCCAUCUAUGUCUGCUCCCUGAAAUAAAGAACAGAGCAUUUCUGUCCGCUGGUCUCUAAUCCCAGGAGCCUUGGCAGAAGAGGCAGGAGAGUUCCAAAAGGUCUUCUUAUAGCUCUGGAGAUAAUGACCAGCUCAAACAAGCUGGCGCUGCACAGGGGAUACCCAUGGACCUUAUUGAUCUCUCUCUCUCCCAUCCCCCCCGCCCCCCUCAGGCUGACAUAGUGUCUGUACUGACACAGGCAGUCCAGAAAAAAGAAACUGUGUCUUUUAUAACUUUUACUUAAGUGGGAUAAAUGGAAAGAUCAUAACUGAAAGAUCUGUUGAAAACAUACUUCCUAUCCAGACAAUCCAUUAUAAUGUUGCAAUUAAAAAGUUCUACUCGGAGCAAGAGAAAAAAAAGAAAAAAGAAAAGGACAAGAUCUGGGAUUAGGUUUAAUGAUCUGGAACAUGCAAGGAACAUAAUAAAAUUUCUGAGUCCAUGUCGGGGAUGUGGGUACGCGGUCUAAGACAUACAUUGGACUCUUCAAUGGCUCUGUUACGCUGCCCCCACAAUGCCCCCUCCCAUGAAGACAGGCAACAGGGAAGCUGCUUGAAUUCUUUCAGGGCCUAUGGCUGUCACUAAGCAAUUUGUUUCUUUAACAUCUCACAUACAGAUGGCUGAAAUAACAUGCAAACCUCACUUGGGUGCCAGAUGGGGGAAGUGCGGUUCAGAUGUCCCAUGAGACAAUGUUUUUUGGAAAACAUUAGACUUGAAGCCUAUGUAAUGACACCAAAUCCACUCCAGUGCACAAUUUUGUAUAAGGCUUCCAUUUUGGAGCCCAGCCCCAAUACUAGUGGAAUUCAGCGUUACAUUACAAUUUGACUUACUACAAGGUCUUGCGGCAGAGUCCAGGUAUGGUAAUCUUUGAAUUACC
Molecule: long non-coding RNA, 1663 nt
Organism: Lutra lutra (Eurasian river otter)
Lineage: Eukaryota; Metazoa; Chordata; Mammalia; Carnivora; Mustelidae
Exons: 5
Source: RefSeq, a predicted model, not a curated record